AUGUGUAAAGCUCAUAUAGGCUGGUGUGUACUGGCAUUACUGGGACAUGUGUUCUCUCCAGAGCUGAGUCAGGAAAUGACACCAGGCUUAUGUAGUAUAAAAGCACGACCCAAGAAUGGUGUAAGCUGCAGAGCUGGGGCUGUGGAUUGGUGUCAGUGUCACAAGUGCUUCCAGGUAAUGCUGAGUCUCAGCAACUUCGUGAGAGCUGGAUGUGAUGGGCUUGUGCCACUGCAAAAGGAAAACUCCUUUCCUGGGAGUUACAGACGUGGUCCCUGCCAAGGCAGUAUAUCUCAGUGA
RNAcentral lists this long non-coding RNA (297 nucleotides) under Anser cygnoides (Swan goose). RNAcentral's name for it is "lncRNA (ENSACDG00005015701.1)". The record is from RNAcentral. Lineage: Eukaryota; Metazoa; Chordata; Aves; Anseriformes; Anatidae.